MicroRNA precursor from Medicago truncatula (barrel medic), 200 nucleotides. It matches the Rfam family "MIR2619 microRNA precursor family". The record is from Rfam. Lineage: Eukaryota; Viridiplantae; Streptophyta; Magnoliopsida; Fabales; Fabaceae.
AAACAGCCCCCUAUGUAUUGGAUCUUUGGCAGUUUUGGCCCCAAUGCCACUUUUAACUUACUCUUCGCUGACAUGGUACCCACAAUGGUCGACACGUGACACCUCACUUAAGGGAUAUGGGUACCACGUCAGCGAAGACUAAGUCAAAAGUGGCCUUGGGGGCCAAAACUGCCAAAGAUUCGAUACAUAAGGGGUUGUUU